Molecule: ribosomal RNA, 846 nt
Filed under: Triticum aestivum (bread wheat)
Lineage: Eukaryota; Viridiplantae; Streptophyta; Magnoliopsida; Poales; Poaceae
Description: partial small subunit ribosomal RNA
Source: RNAcentral
AUGAUACAAACAGCACACACGCGGAAGUUACCUGUCAUUGCUCUCAAGCUGGAUUUUCGCAAGGCUUUCGAUUCUGUCGGCUGGGACUACCUUACACAAAUCCUAAGCAUUAGGGGCUUCCCUGCUAGGUGGAUACAGUGGAUCCAUGCACUCCUUUCAACGGGACGAUCUAGAGUACUGAUGAAUGAUGAGGUGGGUGCUACCAUCCAAGCAAAGCGGGGUUUUAGGCAGGGUGAAUCCAUAUCACCAUACCUCUUUAUACUGGUUGCUGAUGUGCUACAAAGAUUAUGUUGCUUGCAUUUCCAGAGCGGCAACCUUUUGUACCCGCUCAGGUUGGAUGAUCUCUUCCCAGUGCUACAAUAUGCGGAUGAUACGAUGAUUAUCUUCCAGGGCAAUGUGCAGCAGGCUACUGUGAUCAAGCACAUCCUAACUGCUUUCUCAGAUUUCUCUGGGUUGUCCAUUAACUUCCAUAAAAACACUCUCAUGCCGGUUUGUGUUGCUGCGGAGGUGGCUGCUGAGAUUGCUAGUACGCUGGGCUGCCCGAUCUCUUCCUUUCCAUGUACUUACCUGGGGAUGCCCCUCUCUCUGCACAAGAUCAAGCAUGGCAUGUUACUCCCGGUUAUUCACCGAGUUGAUCGUCGUCUCUCUGGUUGGCUGGCCACCUUUCUCUCCUGGGGAGGGCAUCUCACGCUCAGUAACUCAGUGUUGGCAGGCAUACCAAGUUAUUUCAUGACUUGCUUUCCCUGGCCUAAGGAAUCACUUAGCAAAUUGGAGGGCCUCCUUCAAGCUUUUUUUGGCAAGGCAGGAACAGCAUCAAGGGUGGUCAGUGCCUGGUGGCUUGGAUAA